GGGCUGGGGGGGUUUGUUGGGCUGGGAGAAGGCUCAAGGAGGCCUCAUUGCGCUAAAUAAAAUUAGCUUAAAGGGAGUCGUGGCGGGGGGGGGGGCGGGGGGCUCUUUUCCCGUCUGCCAAAUGAAGGGAAACGGCCUCAAGUUGCGCCAGGGGAAGUUUAGGAUGGAUAUUAGGAGAAAUUUCGUUACGGAAAGGGGCGUGAGGCAUUGGAACGGGGCCGUGGUGGUGUCACCAUCCCUGGAGGGCUCCAAGAAAUGUGGAGAUGUAGCACCCCGUAGCGAGGCUUGGUGGCGGACUUCAGUGCGAGGUUAUGGGUCGGACCAGGUGGUUUAGGAGGUCUUUUCCAGCCUGAACGAUUGUACGGUUCUAUGCAGAAACCCUAAAUAACGUUCCCACCAUGUGGCGCUGCGACCCCUGUCCCCGGGGUUGAACCCGGGCACCUGAUGACAAAACCCUAAAUCACGUCCCCUCCAUGUGGCGCUGGAAGCCUUCACCCCGGUCUGGAGCCUGGCUGCUUGGGGAAGAAACCCCAAAUAAUGUUCCCACCGUGCGACCCCCCUGAUGAAACCCCAAAAUAAUGGCCCCACCGUGUGGCACUCACCACUUUACAUGGAGGAGGAGCUGCUGCUCCAAGCUGCAGAGCAGAAAGGAAGAAAAAAAAAAAACCAAAACAUCCUGCCCCCAAAAUGCUGCCUCUGCAGAGGUGAAAGUUUGGACUGGGGGGAACUACGGUGGGAGAGGUUUUGGUGACACGGGGGGGCCGAGCCUGCAGGAGCUGCCGGUAGGUGGCAGUGGGACCGCGCGGGGCAGGGACUGGGACAAGGAUUGGGAUGGGGAUGGGAUGGGGAUGGGGCUAGGGAUGGGGAUGGGAUGGGAU
Molecule: long non-coding RNA, 878 nt
Filed under: Anser cygnoides (Swan goose)
Lineage: Eukaryota; Metazoa; Chordata; Aves; Anseriformes; Anatidae
Description: lncRNA (ENSACDG00005007320.1)
Source: RNAcentral